RNAcentral lists this ribosomal RNA (513 nucleotides) under uncultured bacterium. Its description in RNAcentral is "partial 16S ribosomal RNA". It matches the Rfam family "Bacterial small subunit ribosomal RNA", at positions 28 to 523 of the family's 1533-position model. The record is from RNAcentral.
GACGAACGCUGGCGGCAUGCCUAAUACAUGCAAGUCGAGCGAACAGAUGAAGUGCUUGCACUUCUGACGUUAGCGGCGAACGGGUGAGUAACACGUAAGGAAUCUACCUAUAAGCGGGGGAUAACAUUCGGAAACGGGUGCUAAUACCGCAUAAUAUCUUCUUCCGCAUGGAAGAAGAUUGAAAGACGGCUCUGCUGUCACUUAUAGAUGACCUUGCGGUGCAUUAGUUAGUUGGUGGGGUAACGGCCUACCAAGACGAUGAUGCAUAGCCGACCUGAGGGGGUGAUCGGCCACAUUGGGACUGAGACACGGCCCAAACUCCUACGGGAGGCAGCAGUAGGGAAUCUUCCGCAAUGGGCGAAAGCCUGACGGAGCAAUGCCGCGUGAGUGAAGAAGGCCUUCGGGUCGUAAAACUCUGUUAUAAGAGAAGAACAAAUUGUAGAGUAACUGCUACAGUCUUGACGGUAUCUUAUCAGAAAGCCACGGCUAACUACGCGCCAGCAGCCGCAGUAA